Molecule: long non-coding RNA, 240 nt
Filed under: Medicago truncatula (barrel medic)
Lineage: Eukaryota; Viridiplantae; Streptophyta; Magnoliopsida; Fabales; Fabaceae
Description: long non-coding RNA (MTRU_LNC000168)
Source: RNAcentral
GUUGGUGGUGGCUCAUUGUCGUGUCUAGGGCUCUGAUACGUGGGAUGGGAACAUUUAUAUUAUUUUAUUGUUGUUUUCCUCCUAUGUAUCAAUUUUUGGAACUUAAUGAUGUGACCCUUUGUUGGUUGACUUUUGUUGUUUAGGCUUAAUGCCAGGAUAUUGUUGGAGAUUUAAAUUGUUGUGGUUGUUAUUGAAAUGCAAAACUUUCCGCUGCAUAAUUAUUGAAGUUAUGAAUGAUGU